This 301-nucleotide ribosomal RNA is filed under the name uncultured bacterium. RNAcentral's name for it is "partial 16S ribosomal RNA". It matches the Rfam family "Bacterial small subunit ribosomal RNA", at positions 509 to 807 of the family's 1533-position model. The record is from RNAcentral.
CAGUCGCCACGGUAAUACGAAGGUCCCAAGCGUUGUUCGGAAUCACUGGGCGUAAAGGGAGCGUAGGCGGCGUGGUAAGUCAGAUGUGAAAUCCCGGGGCUCAACCCCGGAACUGCAUCCGAUACUGCCAUGCUUGAGGGUUGGAGAGGUGACUGGAAUUCUCGGUGUAGCAGUGAAAUGCGUGGAUAUCGAGAGGAACACUCGUGGCGAAGGCGAGUCACUGGACAACAUCUGACGCUGAGGCUCGAAGGCUAGGGUAGCGAAAGGGAUUAGAUACCCGGGUAGUCCCUGUCUCUUAUAC